GGCAAGAUGGCCGAGUGGUCUAAGGCGCUGUGUUUAGGCCGCAGUACGAAAGUGCGAGGGUUCGAAUCCCUCUCUUGUCA
Molecule: transfer RNA, 80 nt
Organism: Aspergillus cristatus
Lineage: Eukaryota; Fungi; Ascomycota; Eurotiomycetes; Eurotiales; Aspergillaceae
Rfam family: tRNA
About the family: Transfer RNA (tRNA) molecules are approximately 80 nucleotides in length. Their secondary structure includes four short double-helical elements and three loops (D, anti-codon, and T loops).
Source: Rfam